GACGAGUUCUCGUUGAUGAUCGGUGCUUGCACCGAGAUUCAACAUGGAACGAGUGGCGGACGGGUGAGUAACACGUGGGUAACCUGCCCUUAAGUGGGGGAUAACAUUUGGAAACAGAUGCUAAUACCGCAUAGAUCCAAGAACCGCAUGGUUCUUGGCUGAAAGAUGGCGUAAGCUAUCGCUUUUGGAUGGACCCGCGGCGUAUUAGCUAGUUGGUGAGGUAAUGGCUCACCAAGGCGAUGAUACGUAGCCGAACUGAGAGGUUGAUCGGCCACAUUGGGACUGAGACACGGCCCAAACUCCUACGGGAGGCAGCAGUAGGGAAUCUUCCACAAUGGACGCAAGUCUGAUGAGCAACGCCGCGUGAGUGAAGAAGGCUUUCGGGUCGUAAAACUCUGUUGUUGGAGAAGAAUGGUCGGCAGAGUAACUGUUGUCGGCGUGACGGUAUCCAACCAGAAAGCCACGGCUAACUACGUGCCAGCAGCCGCGGUAAUACGUAGGUGGCAAGCGUUAUCCGGAUUUAUUGGGCGUAAAGCGAGCGCAGGCGGUUUUUUAAGUCUGAUGUGAAAGCCCUCGGCUUAACCGAGGAAGCGCAUCGGAAACUGGGAAACUUGAGUGCAGAAGAGGACAGUGGAACUCCAUGUGUAGCGGUGAAAUGCGUAGAUAUAUGGAAGAACACCAGUGGCGAAGGCGGCUGUCUGGUCUGUAACUGACGCUGAGGCUCGAAAGCAUGGGUAGCGAACAGGAUUAGAUACCCUGGUAGUCCAUGCCGUAAACGAUGAAUGCUAGG
This 790-nucleotide ribosomal RNA is filed under the name uncultured bacterium. Its description in RNAcentral is "bacterial SSU rRNA". It matches the Rfam family "Bacterial small subunit ribosomal RNA", at positions 65 to 820 of the family's 1533-position model. The record is from RNAcentral.